CAAGCCAACUUCUGAUUCCUUCGGGAUGAUGAGGUGAGCAGAAAGUGGCGAACGGGUGAGUAACGCGUGGGUAAUCUACCCUGUUUAGUGGGGGAUAACCCUCCGAAAGGAGGGCUAAUACCGCAUAAUAUCUUCUCCUCCCAGGAAGAGAAGAUUAAAGAUGGCCUCUAUACUAUGCUAUCACUUCAGGAUGAGCCCGCGUCCUAUUAGUUAGUUGGUGGGGUAAUGGCCUACCAAGACCACAAUGGGUAGCCGGUCUGAGAGGAUGUACGGCCACACUGGGACUGAGAUACGGCCCAGACUCCUACGGGAGGCAGCAGUGGGGAAUAUUGCGCAAUGGGGGAAACCCUGACGCAGCGACGCCGCGUGGAUGAUGAAGGCCUUUGGGUUGUAAAAUCCUGUUCUGGGGGAAGAAACCUUAAGGGUCCAAUAAACCCUUGAGCUGACGGUACCCCAAGAGAAAGCUCCGGCUAAUUAUGUGCCAGCAGCCGCGGUAAUACAUAAGGAGCAAGCGUUAUCCGGAAUUAUUGGGCGUAAAGGGCUCGUAGGCGGUCUUAAAAGUCAGGUGUGAAAUUAUCAGGCUUAACCUGAUAAGGUCAUCUGAAACUU
This 609-nucleotide ribosomal RNA is filed under the name uncultured bacterium. Its description in RNAcentral is "bacterial SSU rRNA". It matches the Rfam family "Bacterial small subunit ribosomal RNA", at positions 58 to 635 of the family's 1533-position model. The record is from RNAcentral.